This 277-nucleotide long non-coding RNA is filed under the name Gossypium barbadense (sea-island cotton). Its description in RNAcentral is "long non-coding RNA (GBAR_LNC004470)". Lineage: Eukaryota; Viridiplantae; Streptophyta; Magnoliopsida; Malvales; Malvaceae. The record is from RNAcentral.
UUCAGACUUCAGAUCGACUCAGUCUUCUUAUAAGGAAAAAGGGAAAAGGGGGAGAUUGAGGAAUUAGAGUGAUAGAAGACGAUGAGGGGCGGUUUACCUAUUAGCCGUCGAUCGGUUUUCAAGUUGCGUCAAGUUGGGAUCGGGACGCUUGGAUCGGCAAAGAUCAAGAUCCUUCUCUGCGGUUGCGUCGUGUUAAGUCUACUCGCAAUCGCGAACCGAAACCGCGACAGUUCUUCGUUUAUGGGAUGGACCGGUGACUUUGACCGCUCUUCUUCUC